AUCUUAUUGAUACCUUAGCGCUAACCAGUCUGUGCUAAAGCGUGGUGAAAGAUUCAUAUUGAAUUAACUGAUAACUUGAGUCAUGACGGUUUUUGCUGUUCUGAUACUCGUUCUAAUAGCGUUCGAGGCAGGUGAAGCUGUAAAAUGUAAUCAGUGGACGAAUUUUUAUGAUAGAGACGAUCCCACUGGAGCAUCCGAUUUUGAAGAUCUUAAUUUAAUCAAGCGAGAAAACCCAAAUGACAAUAUCUGCACAGCCCCAUCAGCGUUAGAAGCUGAAACUCUUGCUGGCGUUAAAUACCAAGACACGAAUGAUGUCGUCAGAAUAGCCAGCGAUUUCACACAAUUUGCAUGUUAUGGUGCCGACCAACCCGACAAAGAAUCCUGUGAAGAUUACAAAGUCAGAUUCUGUUGCUUGCAUCUUAAGCCUUCGUGUCCAAAAGGCUACCUAUGGACCAAUUACUACAAUACUGACGGUAGUUCAGGGAAUGGUGAUUUUGAAAAGCUGGAAGAUAUCAGAAGGGUCUAUCCCAAUCAAAUCUGUGAGAGCCCGAUGUCUAUUGAUGUUAAGGACAUUCUCACAGGGUCUGAUUUUAGUCGAUUCAGAGAAACAGUUCACCUGAGCCCAUCCUUAGGGUUCUGGUGCGUUAACGGAGAUCAGAGUGAUGGGGCGUGUCGAGACUAUAAAGUAAGGUUCUGUUGUCCACGUUCACGAGAGUGACGUUUCACUACACAAGUAAUAAACGAUUUAUAAAA
This is a long non-coding RNA of Patella vulgata (common limpet), 753 nucleotides long. RefSeq lists it as uncharacterized. Lineage: Eukaryota; Metazoa; Mollusca; Gastropoda; Patellidae. The record is from RefSeq and is a predicted model, not a curated record. The transcript has 3 exons.